This 253-nucleotide ribosomal RNA is filed under the name uncultured bacterium. Its description in RNAcentral is "partial 16S ribosomal RNA". It matches the Rfam family "Bacterial small subunit ribosomal RNA", at positions 524 to 776 of the family's 1533-position model. The record is from RNAcentral.
UACGGGAGGAUGCAAGCGUUAUCCGGAAUGAUUGGGCGUAAAGCGUCCGCAGGUGGCAAUGUAAGUCUGCUGUUAAAGAGUCUAGCUCAACUAGAUAAAAGCAGUGGAAACUACAUAGCUAGAGUACGUUCGGGGCAGAGGGAAUUCCUGGUGUAGCGGUGAAAUGCGUAGAGAUCAGGAAGAACACCAGUGGCGAAGGCGCUCUGCUAGGCCGUAACUGACACUGAGGACGAAAGCUAGGGGAGCGAAUGGG